AGUGAACGCUGGCGGUAGGCCUAACACAUGCAAGUCGAACGGCAGCACAGUAAGAGCUUGCUCUUACGGGUGGCGAGUGGCGGACGGGUGAGGAAUACAUCGGAAUCUACUUUUUCGUGGGGGAUAACGUAGGGAAACUUACGCUAAUACCGCAUACGACCUACGGGUGAAAGCAGGGGAUCUUCGGACCUUGCGCGAUUGAAUGAGCCGAUGUCGGAUUAGCUAGUUGGCGGGGUAAAGGCCCACCAAGGCGACGAUCCGUAGCUGGUCUGGGAGGAUGAUCAGCCGCACUGGAACUGAGACACGGUCCAGACUCCUACGGGAGGCAGCAGUGGGGAAUAUUGGACAAUGGGCGGAAGCCUGAUCCAGCCAUACCGCGUGGGUGGAGAAGGCCUUCGGGUUGUAAAGACCUUUUGUUGGGAAAGAAAAGCAGCAGGUUAAUACCCCGCUGUUCUGGCGGUACCCAAAGAAUAAGCACCGGCUAACUUCGUG
RNAcentral lists this ribosomal RNA (492 nucleotides) under uncultured bacterium. RNAcentral describes it as "partial 16S ribosomal RNA". It matches the Rfam family "Bacterial small subunit ribosomal RNA", at positions 29 to 507 of the family's 1533-position model. The record is from RNAcentral.